CGAAGGAUGCAAGCGUUAUCCGGAUUCAUUGGGUUUAAAGGGAGCGUAGGUGGUCUUAUAAGUCAGUGGUGAAAUCCCGUCGCUUAACGAUAGAAUUGCCAUUGAUACUGUAGGACUUGAGUACAGUUGCCGUUGGCGGAAUAUGACAUGUAGUGGUGAAAAUACAUAGAUAUGUCAUAGAACACCGAUUGCGAAGGCAGCUGACGAAACUGUAACUGACACUGAGGCUCGAAAGUGUGGGGAUCAAACAGGAUUAGAUACCCUGGUAGUCCACACUGUAAACGAUGAUUACUCGCUGCUGGAGGGCAACCUUCAGUGGCUUAGCAAAAGCGAUAAGUGAUCCACCUGGGGAGUACGCCGGCAACGGUG
RNAcentral lists this ribosomal RNA (369 nucleotides) under uncultured organism. RNAcentral describes it as "bacterial SSU rRNA". It matches the Rfam family "Bacterial small subunit ribosomal RNA", at positions 526 to 896 of the family's 1533-position model. The record is from RNAcentral.